AGACAAACAAAGGGGGGAAAAGAGGUAAAAUAUUCAAAAGAGCUGAUAUAAAACACUAAAUACACAAAUUUUUGUUUGGGGGCGGGGGAAAUUACACAUUGUGCUACCCAUAAACAGCCACACACAUCACUCACCACUAUACAUAAUCAUCACUCACAGCUACACACACAGCCACCCACUCAUCACUCAACAGCCACACAUAUCACUCACAGCUACACACAUCAUUCACAGCUAUACCUACAGUUACAGACAUCACUCACAGCAACACACACCAGUCACAGCUACCCAGAAACAGUCACACAUAGUUCUCACAGCUACUCACACACAUCUCUCACUGUACCCACGUUUAUCAACGCACGUCACUUACAGCUACCGCACUUAAAUACACGGUCAUCACACCCUACACCUAAAUACACAGUCACCCAGUCACAUAUGCACACAUAGACAACACACAUACUAUCAUCUCAUACACAGUCAGCCAUACAGAGCCACAACACACACAUCAUACACAGUUCCUUUACUACAGUACAAUAACUACAACACUUACAGCCACUCUAUAUCUAAACAGGCAUGCUGUUACUCUACACACACAGCCAUAAAUAGCCACAAAACCCACAGCCAGCCAUACAUACACACACACACAGUUAAAGCCUCUCUAUACCUAAAUAACACACACAACCUCCCCCCACCAAAUAAUGCAUAUGCUAUCACCCCACACACAUUUGCAACUUUUUAAAGGAAUUACGACAUUCUGCUGUAGUGGUAAUGGUGCCAGAGGUACUUAGACACCCUUCAAAAGUAACAACAGUUUGACAACUUACCUGGUUCCUUGUAAACAUACACACUUUAAAGCCCCAAUACACACACUGCAGCCCCUACCAACACACCCACACUCUACAGACCCUAAACACACACAACCUCUACAGUCCUUCGACAUGCAAGCACAUACACACACUACAACCCAUACACAGUACACUACAGAGACAUUUACACACAUAAUACACUAUAAACAGUCUUCUCUUCGACACACAAUCCCACAUAUAUAUCACCACAUUAAUACCCCUCACACAUGCACAACACUCUUUACAAGAACACUACCAGUCCAAGUGUAUGAUUAAAUUUGCUUUGUUUUAAAAGGGGAAGGGAUUGUGCCAGCAAGCUUUAAUCCAGCCAAAAACUGUUUUAUUAAAACACUGUUUAUUGUACUACUAACCCCUUAAAAGUAAAUCUGACCUUGAAUAGGGGUCUUGCGGGUGAAGGAGCCAUGGCUGUGCAACUCUUACACAGCCAGUCUUGCUGCUAUGCAGUGAGAUUCUAAUAUAUGUGUGUGAGAGCUGCGUAAUGAAGCAGGAAAAGAGUGUGGAGCGACAACAUGCAUGUACACCUUUAAACCAAUAAUCCUUGCCCCAGGAAGUGGCACUUGAUCUCUUAUUGCCUAGGUGCCCAAUGUGUUGUCUCUGCGCCCUGUUGGGCCCCUUACAACCAUAAUGGCUGGUUCCCUCAACACAAUCACACACACACCUAAAUUCACAUACCAUGUUUACAGGCACACUCAUGGAUACACUGAAAGAUAAAUACACAGAGAGAUAAAUAUACACACACAUAAAUAUACUGAUACAUGCUGUCACACAGACACACAGAUAAUGUCUCAGGUGCACACACAAAGAUACAUAAUGCCACACCACACACGUUCCCAUACACAAUGCCACACCACACAGAUGCACUCACUAACAUGCACACACAAAUACACUGACACUGCAAGACAUAUACACUCACAAAUAUAUGUUUUAAGCCACCCUCUUGGUUUGUAACAGCAGGGUAGCUUUCCUUUUGUCCAGAGGAAAUGCCGCAAACUUUGAUGCCUCCAGCAUAUAUCAUAAUUUCUUCCCACCCCUACUGCACAGGAGGAGAAAAGGAACAGUUAAUACAACUUGAUAAGGGGCCUGCACAGAUGUUACGCCAUGUCAUCUGGCUAUGGGAGAUAGUUAUAUUUCAACUGAGCUACAUUUGACAGGGCCCCAUGCGGGUCCCUACUGGAAAACUGGUUGUACCUCCUUGAUUUCAGCUCUCUGCCCAACCCCCUUAUGACAUUUAAUAUUCAUCAUGUGGGGAUGAAUAAAAUCAUGUCCAUCGUCCAAUGAUUAUUAAAUAGACUCCACCUACAUGGGUUGGUUUGGGGGAACUUUAACAAGUCCCUCCAUGUCUUUUAAAAGAGCUCCCACGCACUGGUCAUGAAUGUGGACAGGGGAUAGAGUGUAACCUGUCCACCCAUCAUCUAAUUUUAAGCAGGUAAGGGCUCUGGGUGGCCUGUAUCACCCCCACAAUAUUUUGCAAUGCUUUGUAUUUUACCAAACCUCGCCACUUGACAGAAUCACAGAUACAUACAAAAACAUUUUAAAACACACAUUUAGAGUUAGGUACACAAAGUUUCACAGAUGUGUACAUAAAACCAUAGAUCCACGAACACACACAAAUCAAACAUUCACACAAUGAUAAACAGAUAUACACAGACAUGCACUGACAUGGAUAAAGAAAGGCCCACUCAGACACACAUAUACAAGAAUCACAGAUGCACAUGGACAGAGACAGACAUGCGCUAACAAAGACAGAUAUACAUACACACAUAUUCACAGACAUACACAGAGGCAAAAACAGACAUGCACAAAUGGACACAUGUACAGUUACAUAUGCACUGUCAGGCCCAGACAAACAGCCACAAAGACACAUAGAAUUGCAAUUCUGGCAGGCAUACAUAGGCACAGCUGCUACACAAACAUGCACAGACACACACAGGCACAAAUACACAAACAGGGACAGAAAGAAACACACCCUAUAUAAAAACAGGUAUAUAAAAUAUGUCUAUUUGCAUGGUGUGGGGAGAAUGCAGGCAGCAGUGGCUGGUUUACUGAUGCAGGCAUGGUGGUCACAAACCUCUUCAUGUUUAUCAUAGAAAGUGAGGGAGCCUGCGGUUCAGGCAAUUGAGUCUCUAGAUCUGUUCUGCUCUCCCAGCCCAGUCUCUUUUCUGUGAAUCUCAAUUGGGAGCAGAAAUAGCAUAGUUACAGAGAUGCUUGAACAUGAUGUUACCUAUUUCUCUAUUUAAACUGUGCUGCUUUGACUCUCAGUUGAAAAUCCCUGAGUACAUGGACAGGUAGGGAAAAUCAGAAAUAAAGAUUCAGUGCUCCUGGCUACCUCUGGGGCAAAAGAGAUUUGGCGCUGAUAUGUCCCCUAUACAGGGCUGGUGCCCCCCCACAAGCCACACACUAGCUAUGAGUUUAGUUGGUCACCCAUCGUUUAGAUAGUAGCUUUUUAAUAAUGGCUUACUUUGAAUUUCUUUCUUUAUUAUUAUUUUAUUUUUUUAUGUUAACAAUUUGAAAUCUUUCAUUUUCAUCAGGUUUUGCACAUGCCUUGUCUCUUCUAAGAAGGAAAUUCAGAGCCUCCCACUGAGUUGCAAAUCAGCUAGUAGAGCCUGUGGCACAUUAGUGAAGGUAUGCUACACCCCUCUCUAUACAGGGGCCAUCAUUGGCUCAUAGCACCAGGGGUGGGAUUUCAGAUCCCACAGUUAAAGAGAAGAAAGAAGCCAUCUUGGAAGUAGCACAGACAAGGCACAGCAGCAGCACCUCCUGUAAGUGUACAAUAUUAUCUUUUUCUCUCCCACAGCAGCCUUGGUGUCUGUUUUAGGUCCGACAUGUUUCAUAACAGCCAAGAAAUUUGUGAUUGGGAAACCAGGACUAAAACAUUUCGUUACUGCAAAGUUUUAGGGCUUCCAAGGUCAAAGAAGGGGUCUGCUUGGUGCGUAGGUGUGUACAGUGUAAAAUAGUCGAUCAUUGGCUGUAAUAUUUAUUAGUAAUAUAAACAGCAUUCUUAACUGCAUCAAAAUUGCAUGAACACCAGAAUUAUUUGUUGGGAGCUUCAUCAAAUGGUCUUUCAUUAAUGAGUAGAUGCACAAAAGUCCUUUAUCACCAUAUUCUUAAACUGAUUAAGAUCACCUUUCUGCGGUUUGAGAAAUAGGGGAAAAGAUGACAUAGCAGCCACCUCAAAAUUAAUUAUGAAAUCAACAAAUCCUAAAAUUGUUUUACUUGAAGAAAUUGUUGUAAAUUAAAUUAUAAUUUGUGUGCUGAGUCCAAUUCCUACAAUUCCUACUUGCUACAAAUAAUCCCAAAUUAAAUUAAAAGUUUGCUAUCUUUUCCUUAAAAUGUUCUUUUCGUUCAGUUUUGCUUUCUUUUCCAUUAUUUUUGUUAUAUUUUUUAAAUUCACUUCAGUUUCUUAGUUUGCCAAGCUAGUUUGUCCACAAUCUGUUAUUCAAAAGAAUUCGACAGAAGUAGAAACUCCAAACAUCGUAAACAGAGGAGAACAAAAUGGUGGAAGCCCGGUAUCGAGGUCAGCACAAGGAAGUAACAAUAAUAAAUGUAAAUAAAUGUAAGAAUAAAGGGGGAAGUAUAUAAUAAGAUACAAAAAGUGUAAUGAAAGGGAAAUUUAACAAAAAGCACACAAUAGUAUUACUUUAAACACUAUUCUUCUGCGUUCACAUUUAUGAAAAUAUAUGACUUUUGUCAUUUUGUUCUAAAAGUUAAAAUGUUUACACAAAAUCUACUAAACAUUGACUUUGCAUUUCCUUUUAAUUUGUGCUAUAAGUCUGUAACAUUGUAUUUUACAUUCAAAUGCUCUAUGAGACAUGUAUGAUUAAAGUCUCCAUCCAAAUUAAUGUUUAUACUUGUGUUUUAAUACCUAAACUCCUUGCUUACACAUUUAUCACAAUUGUAAUUGCCAGUAAAAAACAAUAUUAUAUUCUGGUCCUUAACUCCAUUAUAGUAUAGUCUAUUAAACAAAAUCAGCAAAUAUAUUGAGGCUUGUAUUAUUAAAUAAUAUGCCAUCUGUGCAUAUGGGCAUUAAACAUAGAUUUACAUAUUACUUUCCAUUAAACAAAAACCCAGAUUCUGGUUCUUUUGCAAAUAAUAUGUUUUAUUUUUUCCUAAAUAAACUUCUAUAACAUGUAAAGAAAUGUGUGUUUUUUUUA
RNAcentral lists this long non-coding RNA (5014 nucleotides) under Pelobates cultripes (western spadefoot toad). Lineage: Eukaryota; Metazoa; Chordata; Amphibia; Anura; Pelobatidae. The record is from RNAcentral.